UAUUGCACAAUGGGCGCAAGCCUGAUGCAGCCAUGCCGCGGGUGUGAAGAAGGCCUUCGGGUUGUAAAGCACUUUCAGCGGGGAGGAAGGCGAUAAGGUUAAUAACCUUGUCGAUUGACGUUACCCGCAGAAGAAGCACCGGCUAACUCCGUGCCAACAGCCGCGGUAAUACGGAGGGUGCACGCGUUAAUCGGAAUUACUGGGCGUAAAGCGAACGCUGGCGGUCUGUCAAGUCGGAUGUGAAAUCCCCGGGCUCAACCUGGGAACUGCAUUCGAAACUGGCAGGCUAGAGUCUUGUAGAGGGGGGUAGAAUUCCAGGUGUAGCGGUGAAAUGCGUAGAGAUCUGGAGGAAUACCGGUGGUGAAGGCGGCCCCCUGGACAAAGACUGACGCUCAGGUGCGAAAGCGUGGGGAGCAAACAG
This 421-nucleotide ribosomal RNA is filed under the name uncultured bacterium. RNAcentral describes it as "bacterial SSU rRNA". It matches the Rfam family "Bacterial small subunit ribosomal RNA", at positions 362 to 775 of the family's 1533-position model. The record is from RNAcentral.